AUGGGCACCCAUCUUUCCUUCAGUACCGCUUUCCACCCUCAAUCAAGUGGUCAGGUGGAAAGGGUCAACCAAAUUCUCGAAGACAUGCUUAGAGCUUGCGUUAUCUCAUUCGGCAUGGAUUGGGAGAAAUGUCUUCCCUUUGCCGAGUUUGCUUAUAACAAUAGCUACCAAUCCAGUCUUAAGAAAGCACCCUUCGACAUUCUGUAUGGACGAAGAUGUCGAACACCUUUGAACUGGUCAGAAACCGGUGAAAGACAAUUCUUUGGAUCGGAUCUGAUCCAGGAGGCAGAAGAGCAAGUUCGCAUCAUUCUUGAGAAUUUGAAAACAGCCCAAUCUCGUCAAAAGAGCCAGUAUGACCGUCGUCAUAAGGAAGUGGCUUAUGAAGUUGGCGACAAGGCUUACCUUCGGGUUACUCCUUUGAAGGGUACCCAUCGUUUCGGUAUCAAGGGCAAGUUGGCUCCUCGUUACAUCGGUCCUUUUCGCAUUCUCGAUAAACAAGGAGAGGUUGCCUACCAAUUGGAACUACCCCCACAUCUUUCUCGAGUUCAUGAUGUCUUCCACGUCUCUCAACUCAGGUGUUGCUUCUCGGAUCCCAUCCGCGGAGUGGACCACGAAAUGCUUGAUCUCUAA
RNAcentral lists this ribosomal RNA (630 nucleotides) under Triticum aestivum (bread wheat). RNAcentral describes it as "partial small subunit ribosomal RNA". The record is from RNAcentral. Lineage: Eukaryota; Viridiplantae; Streptophyta; Magnoliopsida; Poales; Poaceae.